ACGAUUUCAUGCCCUUACGGGUAGAUCUCCCACCCUAUGUUAUAUUACCUUUGUUGCUUUGGCAGGCCGUCAGGCUUCGGUCAGGCUACCGGCUCCGGCUGGUAAGCGCCUGCCAGAGGACCCCAAACUCUGAAUAUUAGUGUUGUCUGAGUACUAUAAAAUAGUUA
This 167-nucleotide unclassified non-coding RNA is filed under the name uncultured Helotiales. RNAcentral describes it as "sequence contains ITS1". Lineage: Eukaryota; Fungi; Ascomycota; Leotiomycetes; Helotiales. The record is from RNAcentral.